This 447-nucleotide long non-coding RNA is filed under the name Dermacentor andersoni. Its description in RNAcentral is "uncharacterized LOC126534019". The record is from RNAcentral. Lineage: Eukaryota; Metazoa; Arthropoda; Arachnida; Ixodida; Ixodidae.
AAGAAACAGAGCCAUUUUGCAGCCAGACACCCAUCCCUACAAGGUGCUGGGGCAGAAAUGGCCGUUGGUAUUUUCAUGAUAAGAAGAACACGUGUCUGAUAUUCCAAAAUGGACGCUGUGGAAGCAACAAAAACAGCUUUUCAAGUGUGACACGGUGCAUAGAAAGAUGCAGUUAUGUUAAAUCAUAGACUGAUGUGCCAGCGUUGGGAAAUAUGAUUCAGAAAUCACAACCCUGCCGUCAAGAUAUACACUUGCGCUGUGCCUUGUAGUCUACAACGUAUAGCUGUAUUUCUCCGACACCUAGAACCUUUGCUUUUAAGCACCCUAACAAUACUUUUUUGGUGCAUUUAGCGCAACAUGGAUGCUAUGAAUCCUGUUAAAAUGUGUAUCCUAGAAAUGUUUAAUUUUGUCUCCUAAUUGCCAAUAAACGUUGCUUGUUAAUAGGCC